GGGCCUCAGCUUCCACGUGCGGCUCCGGUCCUGGGAGGUCUUCACCUGAGGGUUUGCUCUGUGCCUGGCUGACCCGCAGUUCACACCCUGCAACCCUGAAGGUGGGAAGGGCGGGGCACAGAGUGCGCAGAUCUCUUCGCGGGGAGGACCCUGACACCCGACUCCUAACGAUCCAAAUCCCGGGGUCGCUCAGAGCCACGGAGAAAUCGGGCAGAAGCCAAAGGAAGGAAGUGGGCGGGGUCGGCUCCCCGACAGCCUCCUACCAGAGGUCGAGGCCGAAGGGAAAAACAAAUGCGCUCGGAGGAACCAGCUCCUCUCCCUGAGCCUCUGUGCCCCGUGGUCCCGGCGCCCCCACCCGACGCCCCCGCGUCUCGAUCCCAACUCUCCCAUUCUCACUUCCUCCCUGGUUAUGCUCAGAAAGCAUCUGUGCAAAGGAUGAUUAAACAAGUGAAUGGAGAAUGGGGAAAGACAGGGAAUACGCCUGCUUCCCAGGCGCCCUCCAGGUCCUGCCCCCAAACAAGUGCAUCCAGGAAUGACCCUGGUACACUGAGCACACUGGUGGUCCCGACCUACCGGGAGCCUUCCAGCUGGAAGAUCUUCACACAGCACCACCCAGACUUGGAGAUCCUGGCAAGCCUGAAGUGCUCAAGGAAUGCCUUUUGGAUCUAGCCUUGCUUGGCUCAGAAGCUGGCAGGCAGAACCAGGAGACCCCAGAACCCUGAACAGAAGCAGAAAUUCCCUGAGCCCCCAGGGAAAUGUCACCUGAGGAGGUCAGGGGCUCGGAAUCCUGAGAGCUAAAUGAAUGAAGAGCUGAAGGUGGGUACCAAGGGGUCCUGAGGAGGUGGGUCGCAGGGGCCCCAGGUCACAGGCCUGUGCUCCUGACUCCUGCCUGUACUCAGGUUUUUCUCACCUGGACCCGAGUCUUUCAAAGCAGAGCCUGUGAUAUGCCAUCUCUCUCCUGUGCUCAACAAAGACCACACGUGCUGAACAGAAGCUUGUUUGAAAGACUAACUAACCUCUGGGCCAGCAAACUUAUUUUUCUUUAAAGGGAAAUAAAAGCUGAAAAACAGGAUUUCCAGAAACAAAACACUUUCCUUCACUCAGAACGG
RNAcentral lists this long non-coding RNA (1109 nucleotides) under Camelus dromedarius (Arabian camel). RNAcentral's name for it is "lncRNA (ENSCDRG00005018558.1)". Lineage: Eukaryota; Metazoa; Chordata; Mammalia; Artiodactyla; Camelidae. The record is from RNAcentral.